UGAACGCUAGCUACAGGCUUAACACAUGCAAGGUCGAGGGGCAGCAUGGUCUUAGCUUGCUAAGGCCGAUGGCGACCGGCGCACGGGUGAGUAACACGUAUCCAACCUGCCGUCUACUCUUGGACAGCCUUCUGAAAAGGAAGAUUAAUACAAGAUGGCAUCAUGAGUUCACAUGUUCACAUGAUUAAAGGUAUUCCGGUAAAACGAUGGGGAUGCGUUCCAUUAGGUAGUAGGCGGGGUAACGGCCCACCUAGCCGACGAUGGAUAGGGGUUCUGAGAGGAAGGUCCCCCACAUUGGAACUGAGACACGGUCCAAACUCCUACGGGAGGCAGCAGUGAGGAAUAUUGGUCAAUGGACGAGAGUCUGAACCAGCCAAGUAGCGUGCAGGAUGACGGCCCUAUGGGUUGUAAACUGCUUUUAUAAGGGAAUAAAGUGAGUCUCGUGAGACUUUUUGCAUGUACCUUAUGAAUAAGGACCGGCUAAUUCCGUG
This 491-nucleotide ribosomal RNA is filed under the name uncultured bacterium. RNAcentral describes it as "bacterial SSU rRNA". It matches the Rfam family "Bacterial small subunit ribosomal RNA", at positions 30 to 507 of the family's 1533-position model. The record is from RNAcentral.